AGAUCAAGAAGAUCUACGGGACCAUCCCCGGCUACGAGGGCGUGGAGAUCACCAGCCUCAAGCCCGGCAGCAUCGUGGUGGGCCACCAGGUGCUCUUCACCAUGGCCCAGAGCAGCAACACCACGGAGAAGUUCCAGGAGACCACGGACGGGCUGGUGGAGAACCUGCGGGCCGAGGUGGCCAGCCAGGGCGAGUGCCAGCACAACACCUCCGUGCUGUGCCUGGUGCUGAGAGGCAGCCCCGUGGUCGGCGACAUGAGGGAGGUGCUGGAUCUGGAUG
This is a long non-coding RNA of Passer montanus (Eurasian tree sparrow), 279 nucleotides long. RefSeq lists it as uncharacterized. The record is from RefSeq and is a predicted model, not a curated record. NCBI's taxonomy places the organism in Eukaryota, Metazoa, Chordata, Aves, Passeriformes, Passeridae. The transcript is spliced from 3 exons.